CAGUAGCCGCGGUAAUACAGAGGGUGCGAGCGUUAAUCGGAUUUACUGGGCGUAAAGCGUGCGUAGGCGGCUUCUUAAGUCGGAUGUGAAAUCCCUGAGCUUAACUUAGGAAUUGCAUUCGAUACUGGGAAGCUAGAGUAUGGGAGAGGAUGGUAGAAUUCCAGGUGUAGCGGUGAAAUGCGUAGAGAUCUGGAGGAAUACCGAUGGCGAAGGCAGCCAUCUGGCCUAAUACUGACGCUGAGGUACGAAAGCGUGGGGAGCAAACAGGAUUAGAGACCCCCGUAGUCCCUGUCUCUUAUAC
RNAcentral lists this ribosomal RNA (301 nucleotides) under uncultured bacterium. Its description in RNAcentral is "partial 16S ribosomal RNA". It matches the Rfam family "Bacterial small subunit ribosomal RNA", at positions 509 to 807 of the family's 1533-position model. The record is from RNAcentral.